AUUGAACGUUGGCGGUAUGCUUAACACAUGCAAGUCGAACGGUAGCAGGCCUUCGGGCGCUGACGAGUGGCGGACGGGUGAGUAACGCGUAGGAAUCUGCCUGUUAGUGGGGGACAACUUAGGGAAACUUAAGCUAAUACCGCAUACGCCCUACGGGGGAAAGGAGGGGACCUUCGGGCCUUCCGCUAACAGAUGAGCCUGCGUUGGAUUAGCUAGUUGGUAGGGUAAAGGCCUACCAAGGCGACGAUCCAUAGCUGGUCUGAGAGGACGAUCAGCCACACUGGGACGGAGACACGGCCCAGACUCCUACGGGAGGCAGCAGUGGGGAAUAUUGGACAAUGGGCGCAAGCCUGAUCCAGCAAUACCGCGUGUGUGAAGAAGGCCCGAGGGUUGUAAAGCACUUUCAAUAGGGAGGAACACCUGCUGAUUAAUACUUGGCAGACUGACAUUACCUAUACAAGAAGCACCGGCUAACUCCGUGCCAGCAGCCGCCGUAA
This 497-nucleotide ribosomal RNA is filed under the name uncultured bacterium. RNAcentral's name for it is "partial 16S ribosomal RNA". It matches the Rfam family "Bacterial small subunit ribosomal RNA", at positions 30 to 523 of the family's 1533-position model. The record is from RNAcentral.